CGAGUGGGAGUGCGUGCACCAGUGCUAGCCUCGAGCCGUCUUACGUACUACGUGCACUUGGGGUUGAUGAGGAUAUGGCACAUACUUCUAUUAGGUUUGGUAUUGGGAGGUUUACGACUGAGGCGGAGAUUGAUAGGGCAGUCGAGCUUACUGUGAGGCAGGUUGAGAAGCUGAGGGAGAUGAGCCCGUUGUAUGAGCUCGUUAAGGAAGGGGUCGACAUCAAGACGAUUCAGUGGUCACAGCACUGAAUGUGCGAGUUAAAGAGUAGCGGUUGGAGAGGAGAAGCUACUUAUUGUAGGUGUGUAUCAUUCUACUCGCCGGGUUUUAUAGAAUUG
This 335-nucleotide unclassified non-coding RNA is filed under the name Hevea brasiliensis (rubber tree). Lineage: Eukaryota; Viridiplantae; Streptophyta; Magnoliopsida; Malpighiales; Euphorbiaceae. The record is from RNAcentral.